GUACUGAUGAAGAGUCCCAAACUAGGACGAAACAGUUGUCCAGUAC
Trichobilharzia regenti is the source of this 46-nucleotide non-coding RNA. Lineage: Eukaryota; Metazoa; Platyhelminthes; Trematoda; Strigeidida; Schistosomatidae. The record is from Rfam.